RNAcentral lists this ribosomal RNA (403 nucleotides) under uncultured bacterium. RNAcentral describes it as "partial 16S ribosomal RNA". It matches the Rfam family "Bacterial small subunit ribosomal RNA", at positions 30 to 526 of the family's 1533-position model. The record is from RNAcentral.
AUUGAACGCUGGCGGCAGGCCUAACACAUGCAAGUCGAGCGAGCGGCGGACGGGUGAGCAAUGUAUGGGGACUGCCCGAUAGCGGGGGAUAACUACUGGAAACGGUGGCUAAUACCGCAUACUAUCGGAUAACCCAUAUGGGAUUAGCUAGUAGGUGGGGUAAAGGCUAACCUAGGCGACGUUCUCUAGCUGGUCUGAGAGGAUGAGCAGCCACACUGGGACGCAGUCACGGCCCCGACUCCUACGGAUGCAUCAGUGGGUAAUAUUGCACGUUGGGCGCAAGCCUGAUGCAGCCAUGCCCCGUGUAUGAAGAAGGCCUUAGUGUUGUAAAGUACUUUCAGCGGUGAGGCGUUUCUCUCAGAAGAAGCACCGGCUAACUCCGUGCCAGCAGCCGCGGUAAUUC